UGCCCAGCCUGUGUGUGUGGCUGCAUUCAGAGGCGGGGACACGGCAGUCCUCGCCUUAGAGUGAGGUGAGGGAUGCGGAGACCCAGGGAGCGGCCACGGUGGGGGCUUCUGCUGAGGGAGCGGGGAUGCUCACCGUCCUCGCCAGGAUGGGGAUGCCAGGAUUCAGGCGUCUGCGGAGGGUCUCCUGGCUGAGGGCUUCCCGGGAGUAGCGGGGGUAGGGAGAGACCCCGCAAGUGUAACCCACCACCGGCCCUGACCCCCUGAAGACCUCACACUUCCGGCCAGGCUUGAAAUACCUGGGUGCAAGUCUGUGCCUUUCUCUGUCAGCCGCCUCCGCUGCCCCUUGGUCCGACCCUGAGCGGGCCCGUCCCCCCGGCCCUCCCUCGUGCUGUGUCCCCAAGGCGCUCUCCCGGCACCAGGACCCCCAGCUCCUGACAGUGAUUUCUCAAGGGCUACUUUUAAAUUACUUUUCCACUGAAACUUUGCGGCUGGUUUCAUCAGGUAGAGGCAGAGAAACCCGAAGCCGGAAGUUGUCAUUGAAAUGCAAAUGACGGAGCCUGUGGCACAUCCAAUCAACUCUGUCGCUAAUAGGAAAUGGAAAUGGGGCCACAAGGAGAAAGCAGGACUCCAGCCUCCUUCCGGGCUUCCGGAUUCCGCUCUGGCCACUCUGCCCAAUCCCCAGGCCACGGGGUCGACAGGUUCCAGCCUGGCUGCCGGAGGGGGGGCCCCUCCCCGAGAGCUCAGCCCAUGCCUGCCCCCCUCAGCGGCGCCCCCCCCCCCAGACUCCGAGCCAGGUCUGGCCCCGGCGCUGGGGCAAAGCUCAGGAGCCCGGGAAGCAGCCUUCUGCUCAGAUCCCUCGGGGGUGGGUCCGGGGCCCGGGGGGCCACACGGAGGCGGGGAGGCAGGCGCAGCCCCGAAGGGGGGCCCUCUCCCUGUCUCCUGUGACCUGCAUCAGACCCCAACAGGCCUGUCUGCUCAGUUCUCUCCAGAGCCCCACGCUGUGUGCCUGCCCCACGGACCCAGCCCCGACCUGCUCCAGACCCCCUGUCCCCAGGCUCCCGCGGCCCCUCCCAGGCCCCUGACCAACCAUCCCGGCCACUUCCAGGGUCCAGGAGCCCCCUGCCGUCUCUCCCCGUGCAGAGCGGGACACCAGGUCACUGCUUGCAACCCUGCCCCCUACGGUCCUCCCUGUGCCCAUCGGGGACCCCUCCGGGACCCAGGCCCGUGUUUUCCUCCGUCAUCAGCUAAUCAUCGAGGACCCACCACCACGAUGCCCCCAGUCUGAGUUGAGGGAGUGUUGUCGAGCUGACGGAGGCUAACGGGUCUGGGCCACCCAUCCGUGUGACCUACGGGCGCCCUCCGGCUCUCGCAGGCCCGCCUGUAACUCCCAGUGUGGUGUCUCCUGGGUGCCAGGGCCACCAGGGUGACUUUACAAACAGGGAAGUUCCCCACCCGCGAGGCGUGUGCUGCCCAGGUGCCCCCGUGGAGCCUGCCGGAGACCCCCCUGGCCACGGACGGCAUCCACCGCGCGUACCUCGGCCGAGCCACCCGGCCCACGUGCGGGACGGCCGGCCCCGCAGCUGUCGCCCUGGCCCACAGACGACUUCCCAGGAGACCUCCAGGGAACCCGUGAGCGGGCAACGCCAGCGGUAGCGUGCGGCCCAGGCGCGCGCCAGGAGCUGGGGCUCUAACCUCACGGCGGAACGCACGUCCCUGGGCCUGCCGUCGGGAGGGCUUGUGCCCGGAUGCACUUGUCCCGGCCCCCCUAAGCCUCACUGACCAAGGCAAUGUCCGGUGCCCCUGAGAUCGAGGCCCACCCGGGCCCUUUAUCCGACAGACAGGCUCUCCCCGCCGACCAGCCUGGGGAGGCUCCCGCCUGCACGCGGCGCCACCGGGGAGGGCAGCGCCCAGUGACGAGCGCGCCCGGGCCGGGCGGGUGGUGGGCACCUCAGCCACUGCGCCCACCCGGCCAGCCCCGCCUGGUGCCUCAGCAGCCCCCGCAGGGGAGGGGUCAGCGGCUCUCCGACGGGCAGUGACUGGCCCCAGGUCACGCAGCCAGGAGAAGGGGGACGGGGGCGCCCCGGCCCUCUGGCCCCAGGGCCAGCUCUUUCUAACGUUCCGCACCAGACGUCCAGGCAGCGAUGCAGCCUUGGCUGCGAGGGAGGUGCCAGCGGGCCCGCUACAAACCUUCACCCUGAGCUGCCUCCUCAGGCUCCCGUGCGGGGCAGUCUCCCUGCAAAGCCCAAGUCCUCGUCAGCCAGGGGGGCCAACCCUGGCUCCUACCCACCGGGCUCGGCGAAGGUCGACGGGGGCUCAGCUACGGGAGGGCUCAGCGAGGACGCGCCACGAAGGUGCCCACACACGAGUGACGCGGAAGGCAGAUCACGUGUGGAGACAUCGGGGCACGUGUCACGGGUGUGAAUACUCAGCCCCGGGGCCAGCCAGGGCCACGUGCCUGCAGUGGGUUCUCAGGGCCCCAAGACCGAGGACCAGAAGCGAGCCAGCGGCACCCCCAGGGCAGGAGCCAGGCCCACACCGGAUGGCUCUGAGCCGGAAGCCCGCGCCCUGGGGCCGUCGGUGCCCCCACAGAACACAGCCCCUCGGCAGGCUGGGCCAGCGGCGAGGCCCCCCCACCCCCGCCCCUCCGCUCGGUGCCCCCGCCUCUGCAGCCAGCCCCGAGACCUUGCCGGAAAGCCAGCUGUGACAGGCAGAUUUCCACGGCCCCUAUCUCGGUUAUGGCUUAUGUACCGCCCCCCAGGCAGCUGGCUCGAGGGAGGGACCGGCUUUAUAAAUAAAAUUUAUCAUCGUAAUUAUG
This is a long non-coding RNA of Leopardus geoffroyi (Geoffroy's cat), 2815 nucleotides long. RefSeq lists it as uncharacterized. The transcript has 2 exons. Lineage: Eukaryota; Metazoa; Chordata; Mammalia; Carnivora; Felidae. The record is from RefSeq and is a predicted model, not a curated record.